AAUCCAAGCACUCCUGUCCACCCGUUCUGCUCUUAUCUCCUCGUCUCUCUCUGACUCUCCUACUCCCAAUCUCCCUCCUCACCCAACAGUAGCAAGAACCAUGGCCACGCCGGCGCGGCUGUAGUACUCACUACGUCCGCAACCACGGGCCCAUCCCACGGCCGCGCAGGGACGACAACGGCUGGGCGACCUGGACCAUCGAGGUGUCGGGCCUCGUCCAGCGCCCCGCGCGGCUCACCGUCUGGGACGUGCUCGCCCAGGAAGGCACGCUCCACGUCUGCUUCGAGGGCGCCGAGAACCUCACCGGCGGCGGCGGGACCAAGUACGGCACCAGCAUCACACGCGAGUAGGCCAUGGAAAUGCCAAGGAAACACCAGAAGGUGAAGAACCCAAAUCUGCAGAUCAGAUCGUGGGUGAAGUUUUGUGUGAGUACUUAGUACUGUCAAUCAAGCUAGCUCUUAGAGAAUUUGUUUAUAUGGGUUAGAGAGACAUGAUGGCUUGAGAGCAACUUGGAGUAGCAUGGGCACUCAUAUGCAGCUUUUCUUUCUAGUUUGUUUACCCCUUCUGUAUGCAGUGGUGAAUAGGGGGUCGUUUUACCUUUGUGUUAAGUGUUGACUAGAUCAAGUCCUGUUAGUUUGAUUUAAUAGUUUUUCAACUGUGUUGAUUGUAAAAACUGCAUUUGUUAUUGGAAUAUUUAUGAAUAUUUCCGCUCAUCAGUAAAGUUGCUGCACAGCGGCUAUGAAUAUUUGAAAGAAUGA
This is a long non-coding RNA of Panicum virgatum (switchgrass), 758 nucleotides long. RefSeq lists it as uncharacterized. The record is from RefSeq and is a predicted model, not a curated record. The transcript is spliced from 2 exons. Lineage: Eukaryota; Viridiplantae; Streptophyta; Magnoliopsida; Poales; Poaceae.